AGGGGCAUAGCUCAAUUGGCAGAGCGCCGGUCUCCAAAACCGGAGGUUGGGGGUUCGAGACCCUCUGCCCCUGCCA
RNAcentral lists this transfer RNA (76 nucleotides) under Piscinibacter aquaticus. Its description in RNAcentral is "tRNA-Trp". It matches the Rfam family "tRNA". Rfam says of the family: Transfer RNA (tRNA) molecules are approximately 80 nucleotides in length. The record is from RNAcentral. RNAcentral also lists the same sequence under 5 other names. Lineage: Bacteria; Pseudomonadati; Pseudomonadota; Betaproteobacteria; Burkholderiales; Sphaerotilaceae.